RNAcentral lists this ribosomal RNA (424 nucleotides) under Thaumanura carolii. RNAcentral's name for it is "partial 28S ribosomal RNA". Lineage: Eukaryota; Metazoa; Arthropoda; Collembola; Poduromorpha; Neanuridae. The record is from RNAcentral.
CCUCUCGGGGGUAAGCGGGCAGAACUUGCAAGUAUUGGCAAGAGAUUCAGACUUGAGUUUAGUAAUUGAGUACUUUUGUUAAGUUGUUCAUUCGUGAACUGACUGAUGGUUGUACUUUAUUCUACUAAAAAUGUGUCGCACUUCUCUUUGUCAUCCGGGUUGUAUGCAACUGAUUUUUGGUAGUUUAGGUUUUAAGAAUCUGUGAGUCAUUCAUUCGUGAUUGAUUUAAGUCUUGAAUUUCCAACUACUAAUGCGGUUGUAAGAAAAUAGCGAACAAGCGUUUGACGCGGUCAAUUAUUUUUACGAGUCGUGUAUGUACUUUAUAUGGAUGAGCAAUCAUAGUAUAUUGUAUGUACUGGUUGUCAGUAAAAAUUAUUUUGGCAUUGUUCAGUAUUACAAUCUAAAGCAUGCGUGGUCUGCCUGU